CGGGGUGUAGUAUAGUGGUAGUACGCAAGGCUGGGGGUCUUGUAGUGGGAGUUCGAUUCUCCCCACCCCGACCA
RNAcentral lists this transfer RNA (74 nucleotides) under bacterium. RNAcentral describes it as "tRNA-Pro". It matches the Rfam family "tRNA". From Rfam's summary of the family: Transfer RNA (tRNA) molecules are approximately 80 nucleotides in length. Their secondary structure includes four short double-helical elements and three loops (D, anti-codon, and T loops). The record is from RNAcentral.